Molecule: ribosomal RNA, 460 nt
Filed under: uncultured bacterium
Lineage: Bacteria
Description: partial 16S ribosomal RNA
Rfam family: Bacterial small subunit ribosomal RNA
Source: RNAcentral
CCUACGGGUGGCAGCAGUGAGGAAUAUUGGUCAAUGGGCGCGAGCCUGAACCAGCCAAGUAGCGUGAAGGAUGACUGCCCUACGGGUUGUAAACUUCUUUUAUAAAGAAAUAAAGUGAGGCACGUGUGCCUUUUUGUAUGUACUUUAUGAAUAAGGAUCGGCUAACUCCGUUCCAGCAGCCUCGGUAAUACGGAGGAUCCGAGCGUUAUCCGGAUUUAUUGGGUUUAAAGGGAGCGUAGAUGGGUUGUUAAGUCAGUUGUGAAAGUUUGAGGCUCAACCGUAAAAUUGCAAUUGAUACUGGCAGCCUUGAGUACAGUUGAGGUAGGCGGAAUUCGUGGUGUAGCGGUGAAAUGCGUAGAUAUCACGAAGAACUCCGAUUGCGAAGGCAGCUUACUAAACUGCCACUGACAUUGAUGCGCGAAAGUGUGGGUAUCAAACAGGAUUAGAUACCCCAGUAGUC